Long non-coding RNA from Homo sapiens (human), 2563 nucleotides. The record is from Ensembl. NCBI's taxonomy places the organism in Eukaryota, Metazoa, Chordata, Mammalia, Primates, Hominidae.
AGACCAUUGACACUUCUCUCGAAGAAGGAGACCGCGUCCCCUGCGCUCUCAGAGCCGCAGCCUGGCCAACAAGGAGCUUUGCUCUUGUUGCCCAGGCUGGAGUGCAAUGGCACCCUCUUGGCUCACUGCAACCUCCGCUUCCCGGGUUCAAGCGAUUCUCCUGCCUCAGCCUCCCGAGUAGCUGGGAUUACAGAGUUGUUACUAUUUAAAGGCAGCUGUGGCUUGGCCACGUGAGCAUACUGGGCUGAAAAUGGUAAGCAGGAUUUGUAAUUUCUUCUAAGUCGAGUCGACCCUUUGAUGACUCUGCUCCCCUGGAACUCUGAUAAAGGUAAAAUGUCAACUCAGUUUCCAGGCAAAACAUCUGAUGACCACAUCUGGACCUGGAGGACUAUGAAUGAACUAUAAAUACAUGGUGGGAGCCACCACUUUAGGUUUCCCCCUGUGCGAUGAGUUCUUUUAACUGGACAUACCCUUAACUGGGUAUCAUGUGACUGCUAAGAGAGAUACUAAUCCUAUGUAGAACACGGACUUCUAAGCCAAGCUGGCUAUGACACCCAUCUGCAUGAAUCUCAUUCUCUCCAACUUAAACUGUCAUUUAGGGGAACAGUAAGACCAGUUCUUGGACUGCUUAGAGUAUACCACCAAGGAGAAGAGAACUACCUAAUGCUGCCCUGCGAGCUUGCUGUGUUUCCUGUCUGACAUCCUGCUAAGUGAAUCCAUUGCCAAGAGCAGCUUACUGUAGGCCUGUGUGAGUCUAAAGGCCUAGAUGAACCUAAAAAGAAGCCCUGGUGGGCAUUAUAGAUAAGGUCAGGCCAGAGCUCCUCCACUUUCCUCAAAUGAAGGCUUCUGGACUAAAUGAUCCAGCAACUACCACCGGCUUGACCUCUCUGGAACAAGCUUAGAUUUAACAGAGAACAAACAUCAAUCCAGAGAGAGAAAUCCAAAGGCGGGAUCAGUGUGGCUUACUGUGCCAGUCUUUUCCUCAGAUCUUUGAUUUGGUCAUUCUUCUUGGUAAGAAUCUCUUUCAUGUUUCGAUAAGCUGCUGUUUGCUGAAAUUUCUUUUCUAAUUCCUGCUUAGUAAAAAAUGUCAGCCCAUUACUAAAAAAAUAGUUAAGGAAAGAGAUAACAAAUGCGAUAAAAAUAUGUAGUUUUUUUUGCUUGAAUUUUACUAGUAUUUUGCUAAUGAUUUUCUAAUUUCCUUAAAGGACACAUUUAUAUAAAACUAAGACUAUCCAAACUUUAAAAAUAUAUUCUUUCAAAUGAGAAGCCAUAAAAUAGUAACAUUUUCCCAAGUACAGUGUUGGUAAAUAACUCAAGCCCUGGAUAUGAUAAAUCUAUUUGAAAUAUUAAACUAAUUUUCCUGUAAAAUAAGCACACUUUUUUCCCAAGUCCCAUAGUAGUGUAUUUUAGCAAAAUGAUUUUUAAUUUAGUUAAAUUUUAGCUCCCAUAUUCUUUUUUCCCAUUUUUUAUAUGAAAAAAUUUUUAAUUUUUUUAUAGAGAUGGGGGUCUUGCUAUGUUGGCCAGGCUGGUCUUGAACUCCUGGGCUCAAGCAAUCCUGCCAUCUUGGCCUCCCAAAGUGCUGGGAUUACAGGCACAAGCCACUGCACCCGGCCUCAACUCCCAUAUUCUUAAGAGUCUAAUCCCCAAAGUGAAGAAUCUAGCUCUCUACAUAUUUUAUAUAAAUUAUGACAAAAGUAUAGAAGUCCUUAAAAAAAACAGUCCCUCAUCCCUCUGCAGGCUGUGGGAAGAAGGAGCAGAAGAGCAACAUGGUGGGAUGUAGGGCAGGAUUCAAGCCACCUACAGAGGAGCAUUUCACUACACCAUAGAGGGAGAGGAGAUGUCUUAUUAUCACAGAUAUUUUAGUACCAAAGAUGGAAGAAUAUCAGUGCCCGGAAAUGAUUAAUCUUUAGAACAUAUUGGCUAAUACCUUGAGAAAAAAUAAUCUGAAUUUGCAGUUGUCCAACGUUUAUCUUAGCCACAUGUAUUCCUCUAUACUGUGUGCAUUAAUCAUGCAUUAACAGACAAAUCCCUUAAACAUGGUCUUCUGACCUUUUCAGCCAUGUGCAGCUGCUCCUGAACCCUGAGUAGAUCGUGCUUGGCUGUCGCCAGAUUCUCCUCCAGUGACUUCUGGUUUUCUGUCUUGUCAUUAAGUGUCUUCUGAAACUCACUCUUUAAGGCAGCGACAGUGUUUUCUAAGUUACUUAAGUCUUGGGCCUUUAUAAAAUCCUAUGAAAAAUAAAUGCAUGCAUGUAAUUUCAUGUUGAUAUUCUAAAAAUAACUGUUUUAGAAUGGUGAUUCAACAUCAUAGGAGAUGAAAAAAAUGAUGUAUGUUUUGUGUGCAUGCCAGCCUCCCUUGCCAGCCUAGGUAAGUGCCAGCCCCUUCAGAGUCACCAGCAGGCCAGUCCAUUGUCAGCCCUGGGUACGUGGUGUCUUGCACACAGCCGACACUCAGUAGCCACUGAAUUCCAAAUACAUAAAAUAUGAUUUGUGAACUGCUGGUAUUUCCAUCCAAGAUGUGUGUACCAGGGUUGAGAUGGCAAACAGGUUUCAUUUUGAAAAGCCA